RNAcentral lists this long non-coding RNA (1071 nucleotides) under Homo sapiens (human). RNAcentral describes it as "growth arrest specific 5". The record is from RNAcentral. Lineage: Eukaryota; Metazoa; Chordata; Mammalia; Primates; Hominidae.
AGGUAUGGUGCUGGGUGCAGAUGCAGUGUGGCUCUGGAUAGCACCUUAUGGACAGUUGUGUCCCCAAGGAAGGAUGAGAAUAGCUACUGAAGUCCUAAAGAGCAAGCCUAACUCAAGCCAUUGGCACACAGGCAUUAGACAGAAAGCUGGAAGUUGAAAUGGUGGAGUCCAACUUGCCUGGACCAGCUUAAUGGUUCUGCUCCUGGUAACGUUUUUAUCCAUGGAUGACUUGCUUGGGUAAGGACAUGAAGACAGUUCCUGUCAUACCUUUUAAAGGGUUUUUAAUGACCACAACAAGCAAGCAUGCAGCUUACUGCUUGAAAGGCUGGAGUGCAGUGGUGUAACCUCGGCUCACUGCAAUCUCCACCUCCUGGGUUCAAGUGAUUCUCCUGCCUCAGCCUCCUGAGUAGCUGGGACUACAGGUAUGUGCCACCACACCCAGCUAAUUUUUGUAUUUUUAGUAGAGAUGGGGUUUCACCAUGUUGGCCAGGAUGGUCUCAGUCUCUUGACCUUGUGAUCUGUCUGCCUCAGCCUCCCAAAGUGCUGGGAUUAUAGGCGUGAGCCACUGUACCCGGCCUCAUUUUAUAAUUAUUAGUUUAUUAAAACUUUUAUGUGUAUGAUUAGAACUUAAAAUCACAAUGAGUUUUGGUGUUCACUUUUUCGCACAUUUGAGGUUAAUCUAAGGUUGAUUAGAAUUUUCAAUUACUUAUAAUUGAGAGAAAAUAGUGUUCAGUGAUUAAUAAUAUCUUUGUUGUCUUUUUUUUUUUGAGAUGGAGUCUUGCUCUGUCACCCAGGCUGGAGUGUAAUGGCACCAUCUUGGCUCACUGCAACCUCCAUCUCCCAGGUUCAAGCAAACCUCAUGCCUCAGCCUCCCGAGUGGCUGCGAUUACAGGCAUGCGCCACCAUGCCUGGCUAAUUUUUGUGUUUUUAGUAGAGACGGUUUCACUAUGUUGGCCAGGCUGGUGUUGAACUCCUGACCUCAAGUGAUCCACCCACCUCAAUCUCCCAAAGUGCUGGGAUUACAGGUGUGAGCCACCACUCCCGGCCAAUAAUAUCUUUAAAACUAAAAAA